UUGAUUGCAGCCACUACCAACUAUUCUUCCUUCCUGGGAUGCUUGCUAAUUCCAGUCACCAUUGUUUCUUCUAGCCCUUUUUACCCCAUCUUGCAGCCGCUAAACUCCUGCAGGCCCCUUGCAAGAGUUGGAUGGCAGCUGGACUUCUGAUGCAUUUCCACACCCCUCUCCUUCUACAGUUCUGUUCACAGCUUUUUUCAAAAGGAAAAGAGCAGCCAACAUUUCCAAUUCCUCAUUAAUUUGUUGUAGAAUGCUCG
This 257-nucleotide long non-coding RNA is filed under the name Olea europaea (common olive). Its description in RNAcentral is "long non-coding RNA (OEUR_LNC014118)". The record is from RNAcentral. Lineage: Eukaryota; Viridiplantae; Streptophyta; Magnoliopsida; Lamiales; Oleaceae.